This 1779-nucleotide ribosomal RNA is filed under the name Phaeoisaria fasciculata. RNAcentral's name for it is "partial 28S ribosomal RNA". It matches the Rfam family "Eukaryotic large subunit ribosomal RNA", at positions 1 to 1806 of the family's 3401-position model. The record is from RNAcentral. Lineage: Eukaryota; Fungi; Ascomycota; Sordariomycetes; Pleurotheciales; Pleurotheciaceae.
UUGACCUCGGGUCGGACGAGAUUACCCGCUGAACUUAAGCAUAUCAAUAAGCGGAGGAAAAGAAACCAACAGGGAUUGCCUUAGUAACGGCGAGUGAAGCGGCAACAGCCCAGAUUUGAAAUCUGACUUUCGGGUCCGACUUGUAAUCUGCAGAUGAGUCUUCCGGCAACGCGCCGUCCAAGUGCCCUGGAACGGGCCGCCGGAGAGGGUGAGAGCCCCGUACCGACGCGCGCCGCGCCUCUGUGAAGCUCAUUCGAAGAGUCGAGUAGUUUGGAAAUGCUGCUCUAAUUGUGGGGUAAAUCUCCCAUAAGGCUAAAUACCGGCCAGAGACCGAUAGCGCACAAGUAGCGUGAGCGAAAGAUGAAAAGAGCCUUGAACAAGGGCGUCAAACAGCAUGUGAAAUUGUUAUGGGGGAAGCGCUCGAUGCCAGACGUGGUGGCGGUUGGUUACCCGGCGUUCUUCGCCGGCGCACUCUGCCGUCGCCAGGCCAGCAUCAGUUCGGACCGAGGCUUACCGCCGGCGGGAAUGUGGCUCCCCUCGGGGAGUGUUAUAGCCCGUCGGUACCGUCUCGGACCGGACUGAGGACCGCGCUUUUGCCCGGAUGCUGGCGUAAUGGCCUUUAGCGACCCGUCUUGAAACACGGACCAAGGAGUUGACCUAGCGUGCGAGUGUUUGGGUGCAAAGCCCUUACGCGCAGUGAAAGCGAAUGCAGGUGGGAGCUUCGGCGCACCAUCGACCGAUCCUGAAGUUUACGGAUGGAUUUGAGUAAGAGCACGUUGGGUCUGACCCGAAAGAAGGUGAACUAUGCAUGAAUAGGGUGAAGCCAGAGGAAACUCUGGUGGAGGCUCGCAGCGGUUCUGACGUGCAAAUCGAUCGUCAAAUUUGUGCAUGGGGGCGAAAGACCAAUCGAACCUUCUAGUAGCUGGUUCCUGCCGAAGUUUCCCUCNNNNNNNNNNNNNNNNNNNNNNNNNNNNNNNNNNNNNNNNNNNNNNNNNNNNNNNNNNNNNNNNNNNNGCCUUCAUCUAUUCUCAAACUUUAAAUAUGUGAGAAGCCUCGUGUUACUUAAGUGAACGCAGGCCUUUGAAUGAAUCAACUCUAGUGGGCCAUUUUUGGUAAGCAGAACUGGCGAUGUGGGAUGAACCAUACGGGAGUUUAAGGUGCCGGAGUGGACGCUCAUCAGACACCACAAAAGGUGUUAGCACAUCUUGACAGCAGGACGGUGGCCAUGGAAGUCGGAAUCCGCUAAGGACUGUGUAACAACUCACCUGCCGAAUGUGCUAGCCCUGAAAAUGGAUGGCGCUAAGCGUCCCACCUAUAGCUCCCCCUCGGGGUAGGAUCGUCGCCCCGAGGAGUAGGCAGGCGCGGGGGUCCGUGACGAAGCCUAGGGCGUGAGCCCGGGUCGAACGGCCCCUGGUGCGGAUCUUGGUGGUAGUAGCAAAUACUUCAAUGAGAACUUGAAGGACCAAAGUGGAGAAAGGUUCCAUGCGAACAGCGGUUGGACGUGGGUCAGUCGGUCCUGAGCCAUAGGGAAGUUCCGUUUCAAAGGGGCACUCGUGCCCCGUAUGGCGAAAGGGAAGCUGGUCAAGAUCCCAGCACAAGGAUGUGGGUUUUACGCGGCAACGCAACCAAACGCGGAGACGGCGGCGGGAGCCCAGGGAGGAGUUAUCUUUUCUUCUUAACGGUCCAGCGACCCUGAAAUCGGUUUGUCCGGAGAUAGGGUUCAGCGGCCGGAAGAGCCUGGCAGUUUUGCCACGGUCCUGUGCGCUCUCGACGUCCCUU